GACACGGUAGCCGAGUAAGUCCCAUCAUUUUCAACGCUGCGGACAUCGACGGAAACAUUACACUGGAAUAGCGGACAGUUCCGCGGUGUAAUACAAUAGCGAACGGAAUACAAGACGUCGACUCACUGUCCAAAUUCGCCGAGAAUGAUGGCGCCGAUACCAAGGAGGGCGACGGCUACGAGAAUGUAGGUGGAGAUGCGCGUCUGCAGCCAGGAGGCUCCGACCACCUUCAGCAUGGCUCAUCGGUAAGCUGCGCACCUUGG
Harpegnathos saltator (Jerdon's jumping ant) is the source of this 263-nucleotide long non-coding RNA. RefSeq lists it as uncharacterized. The transcript has 2 exons. Lineage: Eukaryota; Metazoa; Arthropoda; Insecta; Hymenoptera; Formicidae. The record is from RefSeq and is a predicted model, not a curated record.